Molecule: ribosomal RNA, 432 nt
Filed under: uncultured bacterium
Lineage: Bacteria
Description: bacterial SSU rRNA
Rfam family: Bacterial small subunit ribosomal RNA
Source: RNAcentral
AGCGAACGUUUGCGGCGGGCCUAACACAUGCAAGUCGAACGCACUAGCAAUAGUGAGUGGCGCACGGGUGCGUAACACGUGGGUAAUCAACCCUUCAGCUUGGGAUAACGACUUGAAAGGGUCGCUAAUACCGGAUACGGCGCGGGAGGCUUCGGCUUCUCACGAGAAAGCCUCGCAAGGGGCACUGAAGGACGAGCCUGCGGCCCAUCAGCUAGUUGGUGAGGUAAGAGCUCACCAAGGCGAAGACGGGUAGCUGGUCUGAGAGGAUGAUCAGCCACACUGGAACUGAGACACGGUCCAGACUCCUACGGGAGGCAGCAGUGGGGAAUAUUGCGCAAUGGGCGAAAGCCUGACGCAGCCACGCCGCGUGAGCGAUGAAGGCCUCGGGUCGUAAGCUCUGUGGGGAGGAGACGAAGAAAGACCCGUGAAGAG